AUGUGGAGAGAGGCUGCGAGCCCUGCUGCAGAGCCUCCGGCUGGGAUAGCCGCCCCCCGUGGGGGCGAUGCGGACAGCGCGGGACAGCCAGGGGAGCGCGCGGGGGCCGCAGCAUGCGGGAACCCGCUAAACCCGGUGGCUGCUGAGGCGGCCGAGAUGAUCGUGCGCGCAGCGCGCCCCACUGCAUCCUCGACCUUCUCGGGCUACAGGUACGUCCCAGCAGGAGAUCAGGGCUCCGUGGGCCGGGGAGGAGGGAGACUCGACCGGAGGGAGAGCGGCAGAGGUGAUGGUCAGGCUAGAGAGGGGAGAGGGAAAGCGGGAGGGAGCCCAGCGGCGAGGCGCAGUAGGGGCACCAGGGGCGCUGCGGCUCCGCGCUCAGCGACGCUCACCCAGGAACGCCGAGGCAGCUAGGAGUUCGCCUCAACUUCCCCCGGCGCCAGCAGCGCCCGGUCUGAGAGGCGCGCGUCAGGUCACGCGUGCACGACCGCGCUGGUAUUUUCAGGUACGCGGGGCUGUGCACUUGCCGCCGUUCAUGCGUGUGCCCCACCUGAGGACGUGUGAGGACUCCGGCUGGCAGUGGGCACCGCUUCAGCAGCCUGAGGAAGUGCGCAGAAAAGCGCGCGUGCCUAUGAGCGUGUGCGGCCCACUGCCCACGUGCACCUAAGACUUGGCAACAGCGCCCGCAGUAGAAAGGCUAGGGAGGGGCUGUACAGUCCACGUCCGUCUGGGAGCUUCUUGGGAGCCUACCUUUCCCCCUACGCACGUUCUUUGCCAGCUCCCACGCGCUGGCCCGCGGGGGGACGCGCCUACUCUCCAGAAUUCAGCACUGCACACGGCGCGCGUGAGAGAGGGUGUGUGUGUGUGAACAUGUGUGUGUGCAUGUGCGUGUGUGCAUGUGCGUGUGUGCACGCGCGCGUGUAGGGGGUGGGUCCUGGGCCUACUUGCAGUUGAGUGAAGGACUCUUCACGGUCCCUCGGCGCGAGGUGGGGCGAGCCCCAAGUUCCCCCAGGCACCGCGGAGCCUGGGCCCACCAGGCAGCGUCCUCACUCCCAAGCACCUGGGGUGUACGCUGCCUGAGAGGAGCCGGGUCUGUAGUUGGGGCUGGGCGUAGAGCAAAGUGUGUGGCGCACGCGACGGGCUCGCAGGGGGCGGGGUCAGCCAACUAGCUCCACUCUCAGGCCUGGACGCGGGGUCUGGGCGCCGCCUCCGCACGCCCAGCCGGGUCUGUAGUUCGCUCCGUG
Molecule: long non-coding RNA, 1241 nt
Filed under: Macaca fascicularis (crab-eating macaque)
Lineage: Eukaryota; Metazoa; Chordata; Mammalia; Primates; Cercopithecidae
Description: lncRNA (ENSMFAG00000058404.1)
Source: RNAcentral